GAUGAACGCUGGCGGCGUGCCUAAUACAUGCAAGUCGAGCGAACAGAUAAGGAGCUUGCUCCUUUGACGUUAGCGGCGGACGGGUGAGUAACACGUGGGUAACCUACCUAUAAGACUGGGAUAACUUCGGGAAACCGGAGCUAAUACCGGAUAACAUUUGGAACCGCAUGGUUCUAAAGUGGAAGAUGGUUUUGCUAUCACUUAUAGAUGGACCCGCGCCGUAUUAGCUAGUUGGUAAGGUAAUGGCUUACCAAGGCAACGAUACGUAGCCGACCUGAGAGGGUGAUCGGCCACACUGGAACUGAGACACGGCCCAGACUCCGGCGGGAGGCAGCAGUAGGGAAUCUUACGCAAUGGGGGAAAGCCGAACGGAGCAAAGCCGCGUGAAUGAUGAAGGGUUUAGGCUCGUAAAACUCUGUUAUUAGGGAAGAACAAAAGUGUAAGUAACUGUGCACGUCUUGACGGUACCUAAUCAGAAAGCCACGGCUAACUACGUG
This 497-nucleotide ribosomal RNA is filed under the name uncultured bacterium. RNAcentral describes it as "partial 16S ribosomal RNA". It matches the Rfam family "Bacterial small subunit ribosomal RNA", at positions 28 to 507 of the family's 1533-position model. The record is from RNAcentral.